GGGGUUUGGCCACAUAUUUAUAGGCAAAGGGGGUGCCCUAAGUUUUCUUAAAAAUAAAUCAUCCAAAAGAGUCCCUGACGGCUAGGACUCUAGAGAGAAAAUCCUAGUGUUGCCACCCCACCUAAAUUAGCCAACCAACUUCCAUGUUGGCUUGGGUGGCUAGGGUUUCACCAACCCUAGAUGUGGUGCCGCAUUUGCUCCC
RNAcentral lists this long non-coding RNA (202 nucleotides) under Elaeis guineensis (African oil palm). Its description in RNAcentral is "long non-coding RNA (EGUI_LNC036319)". The record is from RNAcentral. Lineage: Eukaryota; Viridiplantae; Streptophyta; Magnoliopsida; Arecales; Arecaceae.